GGAAAUAGAUCAAUGGUAGAGCACAUGCUUAGAAUGCACGAGGUCCUGGAUUCAAUCCCCAGUACUUCCA
This 70-nucleotide transfer RNA is filed under the name Camelus bactrianus (Bactrian camel). It matches the Rfam family "tRNA". Rfam says of the family: Transfer RNA (tRNA) molecules are approximately 80 nucleotides in length. Their secondary structure includes four short double-helical elements and three loops (D, anti-codon, and T loops). Further hydrogen bonds mediate the characteristic L-shaped molecular structure. tRNAs have two regions of fundamental functional importance: the anti-codon, which is responsible for specific mRNA codon recognition, and the 3' end, to which the tRNAs corresponding amino acid is attached (by aminoacyl-tRNA synthetases). tRNAs cope with the degeneracy of the genetic code in two manners: having more than one tRNA (with a specific anti-codon) for a particular amino acid; and 'wobble' base-pairing, i.e. permitting non-standard base-pairing at the 3rd anti-codon position. The record is from Rfam by way of RNAcentral. Lineage: Eukaryota; Metazoa; Chordata; Mammalia; Artiodactyla; Camelidae. RNAcentral also lists the same sequence under 2 other names.